RNAcentral lists this long non-coding RNA (461 nucleotides) under Panicum hallii. RNAcentral describes it as "long non-coding RNA (PHAL_LNC000506)". The record is from RNAcentral. Lineage: Eukaryota; Viridiplantae; Streptophyta; Magnoliopsida; Poales; Poaceae.
CUGCUCCGCUCCGCGAGCUGUGCGCACGCGGGGAGCAUGGAGGCCGGCGUGAGGGCGUGGGGAAUUGAGGCGUCAUGGUCCGAGAUAUAUACAUGUCUCUCUCUUUGCUAGGCAUCUUAUUAGAUUAUUCUUAGCUCUAUUAUUAUCAGCACUCCGACCCUGGAAUGUUGCUUUCCCCUCCCUCUCCUGCUUGUUUUUGUUCCAAUUUUCCCGGUCUUCUUUGGUAUUAAGAGGCUGUAAGUGACGCAUUCUUGGCGUGGAGCUAGUGAUGCUAGACAUCAGUCCCAACAGCCUGCUUGAGCAGCUAGCUUUGUUAGUAUGUGAGGAGUUGGAGGUAGUCUAAAAGUCUUAAGCCUGGAAUGCAUCAGUUACACUUUUGUAAUUCAUGCAUGUAAUGUCUCUGUUUUUAUCCUUGCUGUAUUCUACUAAAGUUCUCCUACUUCUCUUAUAUAUCUACUACU